Molecule: ribosomal RNA, 490 nt
Filed under: uncultured bacterium
Lineage: Bacteria
Description: partial 16S ribosomal RNA
Rfam family: Bacterial small subunit ribosomal RNA
Source: RNAcentral
AGUGAACGCUGGCGGUAGGCCUAACACAUGCAAGUCGAACGGCAGCACAGGAGAGCUUGCUCUCUGGGUGGCGAGUGGCGGACGGGUGAGGAAUACAUCGGAAUCUGCCCAGUCGUGGGGGAUAACGUUGGGAAACUUACGCUAAUACCGCAUACGACCUUCGGGUGAAAGAGGGGGAUCGCAAGACCUCUCGCGAUUGGAUGAGCCGAUGUCGGAUUAGCUAGUUGGCGGGGUAAUGGCCCACCAAGGCGACGAUCCGUAGCUGGUCUGAGAGGAUGAUCAGCCACACUGGAACUGAGACACGGUCCAGACUCCUACGGGAGGCAGCAGUGGGGAAUAUUGGACAAUGGGCGCAAGCCUGAUCCAGCCAUACCGCGUGGGUGAAGAAGGCCUUCGGGUUGUAAAGCCCUUUUGUUGGGAAAGAAAUCUUUCAGGCUAAUACCCUGGGAGGAUGACGGUACCCAAAGAAUAAGCACCGGCUAACUUCGUG